RNAcentral lists this ribosomal RNA (646 nucleotides) under Staphylococcus aureus. RNAcentral's name for it is "partial 23S ribosomal RNA". It matches the Rfam family "Bacterial large subunit ribosomal RNA", at positions 258 to 903 of the family's 2925-position model. Lineage: Bacteria; Bacillati; Bacillota; Bacilli; Caryophanales; Staphylococcaceae. The record is from RNAcentral.
ACGGGAAGAGCCCAAACCAACAAGCUUGCUUGUUGGGGUUGUAGGACACUCUAUACGGAGUUACAAAGGACGACAUUAGACGAAUCAUCUGGAAAGAUGAAUCAAAGAAGGUAAUAAUCCUGUAGUCGAAAAUGUUGUCUCUCUUGAGUGGAUCCUGAGUACGACGGAGCACGUGAAAUUCCGUCGGAAUCUGGGAGGACCAUCUCCUAAGGCUAAAUACUCUCUAGUGACCGAUAGUGAACCAGUACCGUGAGGGAAAGGUGAAAAGCACCCCGGAAGGGGAGUGAAAUAGAACCUGAAACCGUGUGCUUACAAGUAGUCAGAGCCCGUUAAUGGGUGAUGGCGUGCCUUUUGUAGAAUGAACCGGCGAGUUACGAUUUGAUGCAAGGUUAAGCAGUAAAUGUGGAGCCGUAGCGAAAGCGAGUCUGAAUAGGGCGUUUAGUAUUUGGUCGUAGACCCGAAACCAGGUGAUCUACCCUUGGUCAGGUUGAAGUUCAGGUAACACUGAAUGGAGGACCGAACCGACUUACGUUGAAAAGUGAGCGGAUGAACUGAGGGUAGCGGAGAAAUUCCAAUCGAACCUGGAGAUAGCUGGUUCUCUCCGAAAUAGCUUUAGGGCUAGCCUCAAGUGAUGAUUAUUGGAGGU